UCGGAGGAAGGGUUGGUUUAAAAGCUGUUGAAUUUGAAGAAGUUUCAUACUCGAGUAUCCCUGCAACAGUUGUGUUGUCAAAUGUGCCCUGGCCAGUAAAGUAUGGUCUUGCUAACAUGUAGAAUGAUGCAUUGGGGGCAAUGGGUUUGGUCUUCAGAAGAACAUUUGUGGUCUGUCCUGCUGUGAUAACCAAGAGGUUGGUCUCAAAAGGCUUCGCGUAAGUAGCAUCCACUUCAACAACGGUGAAGGUGUGGUUUGCAAUGCUGAAAAAUAGGUCAUCAUUGAGUGCAACAUUGAUCAAUCGGAGAAGAUACGUCUUUCCUGGCUUCACCUUUAACUUGUAUGUAUCUGCAAGUUAUAAACAUAUGAUACAAAAACAAAUGUCCAAGUGUGUGUUUGUGUUUUUGUAAAAUAAGCUUUCAAGUAUCAAUUUGGGUGACCAAAAGAGUUAUUAUGAUCACUUACUAUUUUCUGAGCAAUUGUACAAUGGACCUGGAAGUCCAUUAAAGGUGUAGGCUUCAGAGACAUUUGGCCCCCCUCCUGUCUGUAAAGCCUGGCUAAUCACUGCCUCAGUAUCAGCAUUGAACCACUCUCCUGUGGUUUAUUCAAUCAAAUGCCUUUUUAAUUAGCUUGUUUGACUUUGCAGAAGAUAACAGCCGGUGAGUAAAAUAACUGAAUUAUGUAGAAUAUUUGUAAAAAUCAAUCUAAAAUUUUAAAAAAAUCAACUUGAGAAGUUAAAUAUGAAGAUUUGGUUAGAAAUUUUAAAAAUUCGAACCGAGAAAUCAAAAAAAGAAAACCCAUUUAGAUAUUUAUUUUGUUUUUAAAAAAUAAAACUAAAAAUAUUAAUUUAUUCUGUUUUUGAAAAUAAAAUCGGUUUUGAUUGGAUUUUUUAGAACGGAUACUUAGAAGAUACGAAGAAAAGAUUAAAAAAAAAAAGGUAGAUAAUUACCCAACAUGAUAGUCACUUCCUUGUGGGGUUUGGCAAAUGGGUAAGAAACGUUGCGCUUAGGUAAGAUGAUAAGGGGUCCAUAGACAGAAGCUCUAAGCCAUGAGAGGUGAGCAUGCCAGAAGAGAGUUCCUCUUUGUCCUGUAAUAGUGAAGUUGUAAACAUAAGUCUGGUUUGUUUGAAUAGGGCAUUGCGUGAUGUAUGCUGGUCCAUCUGCCCAUCCACUUUGAAGUUGUCGAAUUCCAUGCCUGUUCAAUUCAUUUCAUUUCAUCACCAAAAGUAGACGUUAACAAUAUUAAUUAAUUACCACCAAAUAUAGAUAUAAUUUAACUACAUGUCAUUGUUAAUCAAUCCAUGAAUAACAGUGCCAUACAACAGAAAACUCGAUCACUUUCAUACCAAUGGAUGCUGAUAUUAUUUGGAACAUGAUUGACCACCUUCACCACUAAACGGUCACCUUCUCUGGCAACUACGCGAGGCCCCGGGAACUUGCCAUUAACAGUCACCAUGCUCUUCGUGUGGCACAAGCGGGUGACAUUUGUCAGUUCUAUCUGAAAGAACAUUACAAUUAACAAUUAAUGUUACUUGCAUAUGAACAUGAUGAUGAGCUAUCUAGCCAGACUAAAGCAUAAAAUUAAAUGCUUCGCUGAGUGUUAGCAUACGCAAAGUAUAUAUAUAUAUAUAUACACGUACGUUGAACUUGUAGUGCCUCGUAAUGCCUGCAUGCUUUGCACCGGCGACCUCAGGAAAGGCCCAGAGGCAGCUCAUAGCAAAGAGUAGAAUUGUCAGAAGAAUUUCUGGCGAUGCAGGGACUGAAGCACCCAUGCUUUACGUUCCAAAAGUGAAGUUAAAUUUGCUACUUGGUAGAAAGAUGGAUGGAGAUAGGAGCUAGGUAAUAUUGGUGAAACUCAAAACUUUGCUUCUCUUACUGGAAUUAUAUGAUCAUUAGACCCAGUGGAGGGUGUUUAUAUAGGCAAAUAGCUUAUAGUUAGAGCAGCAGUGUCUGGUUGAUUAGGCAAUCGGAUGUCUCAGAUAUGACAAAAGAGAGAGAGAGAGAGAGUUACCUACUGUCGGUUCAUGUUUGAGUUGGAGUGUAAUCAAAGUCAAUUAAUUAGUUAAUUUUACCUGUGCUUUAGCUUUAGUUUGAAUAAUAUGGUGGACGAUUGCCUCAACUUGUUAAUUACAUAAAUAUUUACCAUUAUUGGUUAAUCGAAAGAAAUGUCAGCAUGGCAUUUAUUUUCCUUCUUCGUAAGUAACCCUUUUCAUUGAAAACUCUUCUCGUAGAAAAUUUUCCUCAAAAACCUAUAAACAAGUCGCAUGCUUGUAAAUGAAAUUUGACUUAUUAUGAUCACAUCAAGUGAUGAAAUGUAUCUUCCACCAAAAAAGCAGGAGAAUAUGAGGGAUGGGAAAGAUAAUGAUAGUCAUGCCAAAACCUAUGUUCCAAGGAUAUAUCGGGGGCGCCUACGUAUCUGUAAAUAAAAAUGGAAACCUCUAUAAAUAUAUCUUAUUCAGCUACAGAAUUCGAAGAUCAAACCGUUGGCGUGGAUGACCAGGGCAAUCAAAGAGAUCCCAUUUGCCCUUGAACAUGUUGUUUUUUAGUCAGUUUAACGUUCCAUGCUAAUGAUCAUUUUCAUAUAAGACUUACGUACUCACUGGGACUGUGGGACAUGUACAGUGGUUGGUGAUAACCCAUGUGUCAACCACACUUGAAAAAUAAAAAAGCCAAGGAAGAGAAGGACAUCUGAUCCACCUUACUUCCAAGCAACAAAAGAAUGAUCAUCGAUAUAUAGAGAAUAUAGAGCUUGUUUAACAUAUAUAGUCACUUCUUUCUCUGUAAAUAGCUAGCAAAGCAAUUAAUCUCUUGAUAUUCUUAAACAUGAAGUUACAAUUAUAACGAAUUAAUUAGAAGUAACAAAUAUCAUGUGGGAGUUAACCGUUGAGGUGUCCAUUUUAUGCGAAUCACGUACAUGUUAUAGCCCUGAUCAAUGUAGCAACCAAAAACAUUAAUGCAUGCUUAAGAUCUUAGUAAACCUUAAUUAAGUCCAGCACUGGAAAAAUGAUCAUAUACAGGAAGGAUUUUAUUUUAAGUUCGUGCUUAUAUAUAUAUUCUUUAUGGCUUAAGCAUGCAUGAAUUGCCUGAAGUAAUUAGAAUGUUGUGUUUAAUUAACGUUGUGACUGCAAACAAAGGAAAAACGAACUCCCAGUCUGCAGCCACAUAUUUUUUUCAUAUAUCUGCGUGGACAUUAAGCAGAAUUAUUUUAAUUAAUCCCGAAUCAUAACAACUGCAAUAACUCCCACCCCAAGGAACACAGGAACAAACUUGAAGAAUGGAGUGUCGAAGUACAACUUAGCUUGUGGAUGGAAUCCUUUAGCUAUGAGAUAUAUGGUCGAUGGCAACAUAGAUAAAAACUCCACAUGCAAGUCGUCCCAGCUGAGAGAUAGCAUAGAUCCAACCAGCUGCUUGGCCUUGAGUAGUGGCAUCAAUGGCAAUGCCAUAUUUACAGGAAUAUGUUUUAAUCCUAAUUAAUGGGAAAAAAAACAGUCACAAUGAUUUCCAUUACUGGCUAGGUCAAACCAAUCCUAACCUUGAAAGAACUCAUUGUCAAAUCUCUAUUAGAAUUAACCACAUCAUAACAUAAGGAGAUGGGAUUCAGACUGAUAAACUCUCAUAGAAGUUACCAAAACUAAUAUUAAAAAUGAAAUCAAGCUACCAGGUCCAGAUUGAUUAAUUAAUAGCUUUCCUAUCAGCUAGCUUUUGCUAAAUAUGGAAGUUGCGAAAGAUAUAUAACUGCAAUUCAUGAACCAGUGGAAGUUCAUUAGCGCAGUUCCUUUUAUGGCCAAGGAUCAACGCAGGUUUGAAUUCCUAUAUUAAAGCUUUUUUUUGGAUUGUGGUAGCGAUGACAGUUCAAAGUGUUUUUCGUUUAGAAAUAUAUCAAAAUAAUUUUUUUUAUUUUUAAAAAAUUAUUUUUAAAAGUAACACAUUAAAAAUAUCUGAAAAUAUAAAAAAAAUAUAUUUUAAGUAAAAAAAAAAAAAAUUCAAAAUUUUCCCAAACACUCUUUUAGACAGUGUUGGAAACACGGUUUUUUUAAAAAAUUUAUUUUUUUAUAUUUUUAAAUCAUUUUGAUAUGUUAAUGUUAAAAAUAAUUUUUAAUUUUUUUUUUAAUAUAUUUUAAAACAAAAAACACACUUUAAAUUGUAUCGUUAUAAUCACCCUCUUUGCAUCAGCAACCGAGGGACAAACCAAGAUAAAAAUGAAAAAGAUUGGGAUUAACAAGCCAAGUCGAUUGUGUGAGUUCUACCCAGCUGGAGUUUCCCAUGGAAUUUACAUACGAAUGGGAUAAAUUGGUUCCUAGGUUAUCAAUAAGAAAAUUUUCUUUUCUUUUUAUCAUAAGAAAAAAUUGAUUCUAAAUAUUUAUAGUGUCUUUAAUUAUUUUUCAAAUAUUACAUAUUUUUAUUAUUGUUAGAGUAUUUUUAAAGUUUUGGACGAGGCAGGAUGAUCUGAACUUAAAAACCUGAGAUCAAAAUCAUCAUGAAUCAAGGCCAAGCCAGGAUGAUAUGAACUUAAAAACCUGAGAUCAAAAUCAUCAUGAAUCAAGGCCCAGGCACAGACCCAUGAACAAAUUGGAUAUAUUUUUCUGAAAAGUAGAGUUCGGAACAAAGAGAAGUAAAAAGAUGCAAAAAAAAAUCCAAGGAAAUCAAGAUGUGGUUAUCCACAUCCUUGUCUUGACAUUAAAUGGCUGCCACAUACUUCCACUACAUUGUAGCCAAAAACCUCUUUAUCCACACCAACAUUAAAGGCAACAGCUAAUUUGUAUAGUGUCAUAGAGCUAGCAAAAAUGGACAUAACUACACAGUCUCUUUCCAUGCCAAGCUUCCAGGCUGCUCAACUUCUCUCGCAACACCAAUCUUUCAUUCCAAAGCCUCACUUCUUGCCCAUAAUUCAAUCACAUUUCAGUCUCCUAAGAACUUUUUCACACAGCUACAAGGUGUUAGGAUUAAAGCAAAGAAGCAAAGGAGUCUUGGUGCUGUACAUGCUUCUGGGGCUGACAGCACUUUGACUGAUGUUGAAGAAAGAUGGCUUCUUGUACCCGUUGGUUAGUGAGUUCUGUUUUUCUUUCAAGAAUCGAUGAUUGAUGAUAAUUCCUGUUCACCACAUAAAUGAGAUUUAAGUUGCAAUUAGUGAUCAUGGUUUGUUGCCCAAUCUGAAGCAAACAAUGCUGUACCUAAUGUGAAUGACAGGUGAUGGGGAUUCAGGGCAUAUAGGUUUCAAGGUUAAAAUGCCAGAUGCAUUUGAAAUAGCUUCUGUGAGUGUCUCUAUUCCCUGUUCAUGAUCAUUGAAUUUUACUCGAACAUACACCAAUUAACAAGACCCUUCAAUUUUCUGCCAUUAAUCCAGAGUGAGGUUACUGUUGGCCGCCUCCCCGAUAAGGCAGACAUGGUGAUUCCAGUUGCAACAGGUGUUGGUUCAACCUGUCUGUGAAUUUCUUCAACCAACUUUUGACUUCCCUUGUUAAUGUCAUGCUGAUUUGAACAGUGUCUGCUCUACAUGCUCGCAUUCAGAACAAGGGAGGAAAUCUUGUGGUCACAGAUUUGGACAGUACUAAUGGAACAUUCAUCGAUAAGAAACGGCUGCCACCUGGAGCUUCUGUCAGUGUAUCGCCUGGAAGUCGUAUUACAUUCGGUAUUAUAACUCUAACUAGAUAUACUAUUUUCUCCCGUUUUUCUGCAUAAUUAUUAUACUGCAGUAUAUAUCUUUUAUCCAUGUUUUUUAUUCUUGAGUUCUGAAUCAUGUCUGACCAGUAUUAAAUAUAACUAAGUGCUGAAAAGCCAGUCCUUAAAGUGAAGGAUGGUGGCAGAUUAGAGGUGGGAAGGAGGAGAUGUUAAUUUUGAGCAAAAUUUGGGACCUAAUUCUUGAUUCUCUUACCGGUUUUCAGAAGAAUUUUGAUUUGUUUAAAUAGUACGGCGCCGCCGGCUUGAACAAUUAAAUUGUGGAUUAUCAUUAAUUUGUUUGUUUGUUGCUUAUUAGUUUUUAUUAUGAGCACCGGAUUAUCAACUCAGGAUAAUAUUUUUAUUAAAAUAAUAUUUUUUUUUGAGUUUAUUCAAAUUAAUUUGACAAUAUCAAUAUGAGUUAAUUAAUAUUGCCAUAUUAGUUGAAUUUUACUAAAUUAAUAUUUUUUUCAGUUUAACUUAAAAUUUAUUAUAAAUUAAAUUUUAAAUAAUAAGUUUUUUAAAUUAACCUGUGAAGUUAAACCGAGAUUAACAAUUAUACUUUUAAACACUACAAAAAAAAAAAAAUGAAUUACCUUCUCAUCUUUCAGCCCUUUUUAACAAGGGAGAAGAUGGACCAAUUCCCGUUGCUUCUUAAUGAAAAGCUUAUGAACUGCAUCCCAAAAACUUGAAAGUAUUUUUCCAUAAAAAAAACAAAAUUGAAGGAAAAAAGAAAGAAAAACAGAUGGAAUAAUCGAAUACGAUGGAUGUGAGCUUGUAAUUAAAGACAAUCAACUAGAACAGAACAUUCUUGUAUAGUGGCACAUGCAUGCGUUGACCUUAAUUUAAGAUUGGUUCAUCUUUCCAUAUAUGCCCAAAAAGUCACGAUAUCUAAAAAGGGUUGUCAUUUAUCAGCUAAAGCUAGUCACAAUCAUAAAUAAACUGACCAAUCUAGCUAUAUAAUUCUAAAUCCUUUGUUAGGUAUAGAAUUAUAAAACAAUAUUAAACGUAUAUUUGUUGUUUUUGUAGUUCAAACUCCUUUUCAAAAAAAAUUGAAUUGAUUUUUAUUUGAAAAAAUUAUUAAUUUUUUUUUGUUUUUCAAUAAUUUUAAUAUGCUAAUACAAUAAUUUUAAAAUUUUAAUAUGACCUUAAUUUUAUUUUGUCUCGUAAGGGCAGGAGUUAAGGCCUAGAAACAGCAUCUAUCCCAGAGCACUAAUCCUAAUUAACUCACAGCCCAAGUUAUUAAGAUUCCAGUCCUUACAAUUGUAUAUCUCCAAAAUGAUCAAAAUCUAACCAUUGUGGUGUUAUGAUGAUCAGUUAUGGCCCUAUAAAGACUAAGCAAGACAAUUAAUUUGUUCAGAUAAACUAUAUGCAUGAAUAUGUAUAUAUUUUAUCAAUACCCUUCGAAGGAUGUGAGGGGUCAACGAAAUCAAUUCAUUCAAGUUGAUAAUCCCUUUUUCUGCAUAAAUUCUUGCAGAACCUUUAAGAGGGAUAUAAUCUAGAGGAAUAUAGAGCAUUAUAAAAGUGAUAUUUUCUAUUCUUUCAUGGCCUAUAAAGAAAGACUUCGACAUGUAGAAUUGACAUUGCAUUUGUAGCAUAUAUAUGAAUUGAGAGAAGAGAGGUCUAAUAUGAGGAUCAGAGCCUUGUGUGGAAGCCAAGGGUGACUUGCCUGAGCAUUUCAGGAAGGUUUCUAUAUGAAAGCUUUUUGUUAGUUUUGCAGGAAGUCAACCUCGGCUUUCCUGUAGUCUCUUCUUUCUCAUGCUAUGCCUUUCUCUUCUUCCAUAACAAGAUCAAAAACAUAUAAAGGGUAUGCAUUUAGACAUUAACUUGAUCGAUGCAUUACAUUGUUCAACAUAUUAUUUUGAAGAAUCCAUCAAGGUUUUACAUUAUAUUCUUUGAUUUAAUGGCCUUUUCUGUAUACACUCACAAUGUUAGGGUAGAAUGACACAUGAGAGGUUUAGGCUUUUUUGACAAUGCGGUACACUCCUUUUAUACUUGCAUUUUCUCUGGCUGAAAAUAAUUUUAAAAAAUAAUUUUUAAUUGUGAUUGAUUUGAUUAAAAUAUAUAUUUUGUUAAAAUUUUAAUUGAAGUUGUUGUUUAACUAAAAAAUAUAUUCGGAGUGUUUUUUUUAAAAAAUUAUAGUUGAAAUUGAUGUUGAUAAUAAAACGACAAAAAAAAACAUAUAUUAAUUUUUUAAUUUAGAAAUAUAUUUAUAUGCAUUUGAUUGUUAAUACAUUCUAAAAACACACAUGCAAAUUGUAACACUAGUUUUUUUAUUUCAUUAAACUUAUUGUAAAUAUUACAAACAUAAGUAUUUUGUUGCGAUGUACUUGUUAUUAGUAUAGGUUUUUUAAAAGAUAGUGAUUAUUAAAUAUCAAAUCCAUAUCUUUCUUUUUCACGGAUAAAAAACUUAAAGCUUUCUGAUCUAAAUCUCAUAAAAACAUUAAUUCAACCCCGUCAAAAAAACAAAGGGGGUCAUAGUUUGCUGGUCAUUCAUAGACAAGGGCACCAGUGACGUGUCAAAAGUACAGUUUUUCAUGCUCCAACAAACGCUCGUUGGUGAAUAAAGGAUAUAUACGUGACAAAAUGAGAUGAGAGAGAGAGAGGGUUGUAAUUUCAUCAAUGAACAAUUUUUAUUUAUGCUCCAAAGAAGAGCACAAUGAACUCUGUAAUAUAUUACAAAAACUCCGCCACGUUUUCUUUUCCAGUGAGCUCGAUAGUCAGCUUUUGAGAAUGGCAAGCCAGAAAUACAGAGAAGUCCAAUAGGAAUGCUAGUGGGCAACUAACAAUUUUCAACGAAAACAUUAGGAAAGCAGCAGCAACACAAAAUUUUAAGUUAGAAUUUGCAACCCAGAAGAAAAAAUCAUGAUCAUAGCUAGCAUUGGUCAACACUUGGGAAGAUCAGAUGGUGGAGGAGGGAGCUUCUGACUGGGAAGUGUUCCAUCCAAGACAAUCCAUGCCAUCCUUAACCCCCAGCUCAAAUGGACAUCAAAGUGGCAGUGCAUAAACCAUACUCCUGCGUCACAACACAUUAAUUAUGUCGAUAUGAUUAAGAAAACGUUAGUAGAAUAGAUGAAAAUCCUAAAAAUAACAGAAUGAAAAAGGAAAGGGUGUGCUUUAACUUAUUAAUUAUUAUUGUUAUUAUUAUUAUUAUUAUUAUUGUUAAGAAAUAGUGCUACGGACCUGGAUUGUCUGCAUGAAAACGAAUUGCCACCCAACCAGCAGUAGGCACACCAACAGUGUUCCUUUCAACAGGAUCAACAAGGUUAAAGUUCUUGGGGUCAUUAUUUGGAUCAAAAUUUCCAAACCCUUCUCCAACAACAUAGAAAUUGAAGCCAUGAAGAUGGAGAGGGUGGCUCUCAGCACCGAAAAUGCGAGUGCCCUGCAUCACUACCUCCACGCUUGUGUUAAAUGGUACCACUACAAGCUUGGUACCAUUGGCCACAAGAGUAUUAUUUGGUGGGGUCCCUGUGUAGUUGAAUGGAUGGAGAGGAAAGCUUGGGAAAUCAGAGGUGUAAACCCCAUUUGAUUUUUUGAAAAAAUAGGAUUGAAGGAGUGCUGAUGAAGGGAGAGCCAUGGAGAUGUUGUUAACAGAAGCUGAAAAUUUCGUGCCAUUAGGCCCUUGACAUGUCUGGUUUUUUGGGCACGGGCUGUUUCCCAGACCAACUGUGAAGAAAAAUUUCUUGUCUACUGUUUGAGGGACAUUAACCGGGAAUCGAGAAUUAGCCAGACUGCGAAGUCUUCUUGUGAAAUUCGCGACGACAUUUGUAGCAUUAAUCGGAGGAAGGGUUGGUUUAAAAGCUGUUGAAUUUGAAGAAGUUUCAUACUCGAGUAUCCCUGCAACAGUUGUGUUGUCAAAUGUGCCUUGGCCAGUAAAGUAUGGUCUUGCUAACAUGUAGAAUGAUGCAUUGGGGGCAAUGGGUUUGGCCUUCAGAAGAACAUUUGUGGUCUGUCCUGCUGUGAUAACCAAGAGGUUAGUCUCAAAAGGCUUCGCGUAAGUAGCAUCCACUUCAACAACGGUGAAGGUGUGGUUUGCAAUGCUGAAAAAGAGGUCAUCAUUGAGUGCAGCAUUGAUCAAUCGGAGAAGAUACGUCUUUCCUGGCUUCACCUUUAGCUUGUAUGUAUCUGCAAGUUAUAAACAUAUGAUACAAAAACAAAUGUCCAAGUGUGUGUUUGUGUUUGUGUAAAAUAAGCUUUCAAGUAUCAAUUUGGGUGACCAAAAGAGUUAUUAUGAUCACUUACUAUUUUCUGAGCAAUUGUACAAUGGACCUGGAAGUCCAUUAAAGGUGUAGGCUUCAGAGACAUUUGGCCCCCCUCCUGUCUGUAAAGCCUGGCUAAUCACUGCCUCAGUAUCAGCAUUGAACCACU
RNAcentral lists this long non-coding RNA (10022 nucleotides) under Populus trichocarpa (black cottonwood). RNAcentral describes it as "long non-coding RNA (PTRI_LNC002390)". Lineage: Eukaryota; Viridiplantae; Streptophyta; Magnoliopsida; Malpighiales; Salicaceae. The record is from RNAcentral.